GACGAACGCUGGCGGCGUGCUUAACACAUGCAAGUCGAACGGAAAGGCCCUGCUUUUGUGGGUUGCUCGAGGGGCGAACGGGUGAGUAACACGUGAGUAACCUGCCCUUGACUUUGGGAUAACUUCAGGAACCUGGGGCUAAUACCGGAAAGGAGCUCCUGUUCCAGGGGGGGGGUGGGAAAGUUUCGGCGGUUGGGGAUGGACUCGCGGCUUAUCAGCUUGUUGGUGGGGUAGUGGCUUACCAAGGCUUUGACGGGUAGCCGGCCUGAGAGGGUGACCGGCCACAUUGGGACUGAGAUACGGCCCAGACUCCUACGGGAGGCAGCAGUGGGGAAUAUUGCACAAUGGGCGGAAGCCUGAUGCAGCAACGCCGCGUGCGGGAUGACGGCCUUCGGGUUGUAAACCGCUUUCGCCUGUGACGAAGCGUGAGUGACGGUAAUGGGUAAAGAAGCACCGGCUAACUACGUG
This 468-nucleotide ribosomal RNA is filed under the name uncultured bacterium. Its description in RNAcentral is "partial 16S ribosomal RNA". It matches the Rfam family "Bacterial small subunit ribosomal RNA", at positions 28 to 507 of the family's 1533-position model. The record is from RNAcentral.